This 221-nucleotide unclassified non-coding RNA is filed under the name Hevea brasiliensis (rubber tree). The record is from RNAcentral. Lineage: Eukaryota; Viridiplantae; Streptophyta; Magnoliopsida; Malpighiales; Euphorbiaceae.
UCCUCUAAUUUUUUCCUUUAAGUCCCUCUUAAAUCGUCCAUAAACCGCUUCCAAACCGUCCGUCAAACCGUUUUAAAUUGUAAUUUUUUAAACUGUCCUUUAAACCGAUUUUAAAUCGGGGCUCGAACCAAAACCAGCGAUUCAAGAACUAUCUUCCAAACCAUCUCAUGACGGUUUGGUUUAUAUUCAUUAUUUCAUUGAACCUGAACCGGUGAUUGAGG